UGCCAAGUUACAGUACUUAGUAUUUUUCCAUGUUUUAGAGUGUACUGUUUUCUGUUUUCUUUUCAGUUUCAAAUUUGAAAAUAUUGCCCUAUGAAGGAAAUUGUUUGGUAGCCAGAAUGAUUUGUGCUGCCACUAUACUUUGGUUAGCCACUGACAGCUUAUUCAAAUCUUCAUAUUUUCAGCUAUAAAUUUUCUCCUAAGAGCCUCUCCAAGAAGAAAUCUAGACCUUUGUGAUAAUUUCAUUUUAUUCAGUAUUUAAACAUCAUCAUGAGGUAGGAAAUUAUAAAGAAUUUUUUUAAGAAUAGUAAAAAUCAUGCUUUAUGGAGAGUUUAAAUAAUUCAAGUGCUAUAUUCUAUAUAUAUUCAAAUUGUGUUGCUUAGCAGUGUCUUCAGGAACACUCAUUGGAUUAGAAAGUACCACAGCAUUGGCUCGUUGCUUAUUGAAAGAAAUGAUCUUUGAAAGAUCAACCUUGUCAUCAUUUCAGUAAAGCUGGACCCUUAGAAGUCAGCUGUGUGUAUGGAGGGCUGGUUGUUCUCUUCCAUGCAUAGGACCCCAGCUUAGUACCAGGGUCCUGGAAGUCAAGGAAAGAGGUUGUAGUAUUAGGAGAUAUGCCUUUCACCACCACCCCAGCAGUACAGGGGAUGGAACCCUUUGCCUUUACAGUGAGCUAUAUCCCUGGCCCUUUGUUUUAUUAUCAGAGAGGUUCUUGAUACUCUGUUACCCAUGCUGGGCUUCAGUUUACAAUCCUACCAGUCAGCACCCAGAGUGCUGAGAUUACAGGUAUGUGUCGCUAUGCCCAGCUGUAAUUGUCAUCUUUCAAUACUGAUUUCUCUCUA
Molecule: long non-coding RNA, 836 nt
Filed under: Fukomys damarensis (Damara mole-rat)
Lineage: Eukaryota; Metazoa; Chordata; Mammalia; Rodentia; Bathyergidae
Description: lncRNA (ENSFDAG00000030488.1)
Source: RNAcentral